CGAAUGCUGACAUAAGUAACGAUAAAGCGGGUGAAAAGCCCGCUCGCCGGAAGACCAAGGGUUCCUGUCCAACGUUAAUCGGGGCAGGGUGAGUCGACCCCUAAGGCGAGGCCGAAAGGCGUAGUCGAUGGGAAACAGGUUAAUAUUCCUGUACUUGGUGUUACUGCGAAGGGGGGACGGAGAAGGCUAUGUUGGCCGGGCGACGGUUGUCCCGGUUUAAGCGUGUAGGCUGGUUUUCCAGGCAAAUCCGGAAAAUCAAGGCUGAGGCGUGAUGACGAGGCACUACGGUGCUGAAGCAACAAAUGCCCUGCUUCCAGGAAAAGCCUCUAAGCAUCAGGUAACAUCAAAUCGUACCCCAAACCGACACAGGUGGUCAGGUAGAGAAUACCAAGGCGCUUGAGAGAACUCGGGUGAAGGAACUAGGCAAAAUGGUGCCGUAACUUCGGGAGAAGGCACGCUGAUAUGUAGGUGAAGUCCCUCGCGGAUGGAGCUGAAAUCAGUCGAAGAUACCAGCUGGCUGCAACUGUUUAUUAAAAACACAGCACUGUGCAAACACGAAAGUGGACGUAUACGGUGUGACGCCUGCCCGGUGCCGGAAGGUUAAUUGAUGGGGUUAGCGCAAGCGAAGCUCUUGAUCGAAGCCC
Molecule: ribosomal RNA, 644 nt
Filed under: Escherichia coli
Lineage: Bacteria; Pseudomonadati; Pseudomonadota; Gammaproteobacteria; Enterobacterales; Enterobacteriaceae
Description: partial 23S ribosomal RNA
Rfam family: Bacterial large subunit ribosomal RNA
Source: RNAcentral